GGUCGGAUGGUGUAGUUGGUUAUCACGUCAGUCUAACACACUGAAGGUCCCCAGCUCAAGCCUGGGUUCGAUCA
Molecule: transfer RNA, 74 nt
Filed under: Cercophora newfieldiana
Lineage: Eukaryota; Fungi; Ascomycota; Sordariomycetes; Sordariales; Lasiosphaeriaceae
Rfam family: tRNA
About the family: Transfer RNA (tRNA) molecules are approximately 80 nucleotides in length. Their secondary structure includes four short double-helical elements and three loops (D, anti-codon, and T loops).
Source: Rfam by way of RNAcentral